This 380-nucleotide ribosomal RNA is filed under the name uncultured Sphingobacteriales bacterium. RNAcentral describes it as "bacterial SSU rRNA". It matches the Rfam family "Bacterial small subunit ribosomal RNA", at positions 996 to 1382 of the family's 1533-position model. The record is from RNAcentral. Lineage: Bacteria; Pseudomonadati; Bacteroidota; Sphingobacteriia; Sphingobacteriales.
GGUGAAAGACGUUACAUCUCUUCGGUAGCAUUUUACGAGGUGCUGCAUGGUUGUCGUCAGCUCGUGCCGUGAGGUGUCGGUUAAGGUCCCAUAACGAGCGCAACCCUACCUUAGUUGCCAUCAGGUUAAGCUGGGGACUCUAAAGGAACUGCCUACGCAAGUAGUGAGGAAGCGGGGAUGACGUCAAAUCAGCAGGCCCUUACGUCCAGGGCUACACACGUGCUACAAUGGCCGAUACAGAGGGCAGCUACCUGGUGACAGGAUGCAAAUCUCCAAAGUCGGUCUCAGUUCGGAUCGGAGUCUGCAACCCGACUCCGUGAAGUUGGAUUCGCUAGUAAUCGCGCAUCAGCCAUGGCGCGGUGAAUACGUUCCCGGGCCUU